GCUGGAAUAAACGUGUAGAAAGCGUAUGGUUUCCUUGUGCGGACGUGGGUUCGAAUCCCACCAGCUCCACUA
This 72-nucleotide transfer-messenger RNA is filed under the name Segatella salivae. Its description in RNAcentral is "partial transfer-messenger RNA". It matches the Rfam family "transfer-messenger RNA", at positions 301 to 374 of the family's 374-position model. Rfam says of the family: Bacterial tmRNA, also known as 10Sa RNA or SsrA, is named for its dual tRNA and mRNA-like properties. Its role is to liberate the mRNA from a stalled ribosome. To accomplish this part of the tmRNA is used as a reading frame that ends in a translation stop signal. Lineage: Bacteria; Pseudomonadati; Bacteroidota; Bacteroidia; Bacteroidales; Prevotellaceae. The record is from RNAcentral.